AUGUCCUAUGGAGUCUAUGAAUCGAAGGUGUCAGAAGCAAAUAGAGAGCGGAACAAGACGACAGCCAGGACUAACUACGGGGCUAAAAUGAGGCUGAAGAGGGAAAAGGAUGGAACACUUGUCAUAAAAGAGAUAGUCUGGGAACACAACCAAAGGCUAUAGCUCACCCCCAUGCUUGUGUUCUUGCACUCCCACAAAAACUUUGACAAAACAAUCUUGGAGUACGUCAAGUACCUGCAGUUCAAAGGCAUUGAACAUGCGCAAAUCAUGAGCAUACUGGGCGGCGAUGACCCCGGUAGCUACUUCCUCGAAAUGAAUGCCAAAGACCUGAUUAACCUCAAAGCAAAGAAUUCAAGGGUGGAUGAUGUGGACGAUGUCCUAAAGACUGUCAACUUCUUUAGGGAGAUGAGAGCUAUAAACACGGAAUUCUUCUGUGACAUCCAACUUGACGCAAGCUGCCGAGGGGCGUAUCAGGACAUCGGUGACUGCGUAACGUUUCACGCCACAUAUAAGACCAACAAAUACCAUAUGCCACUUGUGGUGUUUGUGGGUACUAACAACCACUUACAGACUACAUUCUUUGGUUUCGCCCUGAUAAGAGAUGAGGAUGCAGAUUCAUUCACAUGGCUCUUUAAGACAUUUUUAAGGUGCAUGAGAUGGAAGGCUCCUACAUGCAGCCUCACAGACUAGUGCCCGGCAAUGGCUUUGACGAUCCCAGAUGCUUUCAAGAAUACAGUACACAAGUUGUGUCGUUGGCACAUUAUGAAGAAGUACAGGGAAGACUUCGCAUACCUGUACAAUCUACACGAAGACUUUAAGGAUGAAUUCACAUCAAUCCUCAACUGGCCCCUCAUGCCAACUGAGUUUGAGGCUGCCUGGAAAAGACUCAUGGAUAAGUAGAACCUCCAUGAUGAUGCCACGAUGGUGGGCAUGUGAAAUGAGCGUGAGAGAUCGAUAUGAGCCUACUUCAAAGAAAUUUCCUGCGCCAAAAUGACAUCCACAUAACGAAGUGAGAGCAUGAACUAUGUGCUCAAGAAGAAUAUCGUAAGUGAGAGACAAAACCUCCACCGGUUUGUCAGCCAGGUAAACUCCUACGUCAAAAGCAGGAGGUAG
This 1113-nucleotide ribosomal RNA is filed under the name Triticum aestivum (bread wheat). RNAcentral's name for it is "partial small subunit ribosomal RNA". The record is from RNAcentral. Lineage: Eukaryota; Viridiplantae; Streptophyta; Magnoliopsida; Poales; Poaceae.